AUCAUGGCUCAGGAUGAACGCUAGCGGCAGGCUUAACACAUGCAAGUCGAGGGGCAUCGGGAGUAGCAAUACUUGCCGGCGACCGGCGCAAGGGUGCGUAACGCGUGAGCAACAUGCCCGUAUCAGGGGGGAUAAUCCAUGGAAACGUGGUCUAAUACCCCAUAGUAAUUAUGUAAGGCAUCUUAUAUAAUUUAAAGCUUUGGUGGAUACGGAUUGGCUCGCGUGACAUUAGCUGGAUGGUAAGGUAACGGCUUACCAUGGCUACGAUGUCUAGGGGUUCUGAGAGGAAGGUCCCCCACACUGGAACUGAGACACGGUCCAGACUCCUACGGGAGGCAGCAGUGAGGAAUAUUGGACAAUGGAUGGAAAUCUGAUCCAGCCAUGCCGCGUGCAGGAAGACGGCCCUAUGGGUUGUAAACUGCUUUUGUAUGGGAGCAAUAAGGGCUACGUGUAGUCCGAUGAGAGUACCAUACGAAUAAGCACCGGCUAACUCCGUGCCAGCCGCGGC
This 508-nucleotide ribosomal RNA is filed under the name uncultured bacterium. Its description in RNAcentral is "bacterial SSU rRNA". It matches the Rfam family "Bacterial small subunit ribosomal RNA", at positions 16 to 518 of the family's 1533-position model. The record is from RNAcentral.